RNAcentral lists this ribosomal RNA (496 nucleotides) under uncultured bacterium. Its description in RNAcentral is "partial 16S ribosomal RNA". It matches the Rfam family "Bacterial small subunit ribosomal RNA", at positions 29 to 507 of the family's 1533-position model. The record is from RNAcentral.
AUGAACGCUGGCGGCGUGCCUAAUACAUGCCCGUCGAGCGAACAGACGAGGAGCUUGCUCCUCUGACGUUAGCGGCGGACGGGUGAGUAACACGUGGAUAACCUACCUAUAAGACUGGGACAACUUCGGGAAACCGGAGCUAAUACCGGAUAAUAUAUUGAACCGCAUGGUUCAAUAGUGAAAGACGGUUUUGCUGUCACUUAUAGAUGGAUCCGCGCCGCAUUAGCUAGUUGGUAAGGUAACGGCUUACCAAGGCAACGAUGCGUAGCCGACCUGAGAGGGUGAUCGGCCACACUGGAACUGAGACACGGUCCAGACUCCUACGGGAGGCAGCAGUAGGGAAUCUUCCGCAAUGGGCGAAAGCUUGACGGAGCAACGCCGCGUGAGUGAUGAAGGUCUUCGGAUCGUAAAACUCUGUUAUUAGGGAAGAACAAAUGUGUAAGUAACUAUGCACGUCUUGACGGUACCUAAUCAGAAAGCCACGGCUAACUACGUG